RNAcentral lists this long non-coding RNA (1999 nucleotides) under Homo sapiens (human). RNAcentral's name for it is "non-protein coding lnc-HTRA3-4:1". Lineage: Eukaryota; Metazoa; Chordata; Mammalia; Primates; Hominidae. The record is from RNAcentral.
UGCUGGUAUAAGAAAUCUCCCCUGUGCAGAGCAUGUCUCAGCAAGCCACUGGGACCAACUCACGCACAGUGAUGCAUGUGCACGGAUGGCUGCCACGGAGCAGAAGCCUUGAUCUCUCCAUCUCUCAGGAGGAAGUUUGCUAAACUUGUACAUUCAUGUUACUUGACUGGGAAAAUGGCUGUGCCAUCACUUUAAGUGGAAAAAGAUGUCCACAGAGUAUGACCCAUUUCUGAAAGGAAAACCACACACACGUACACAGAGGAAGAAAGUGUGCAGAAUGGUGUACGCUAACAUGAUCCCGGCAGGUGAGAGGAAGAAAGUGUGCAGAAUGGGGAACACUAACCUGUUCCUGGCAGGUGAGGGGAAGCAAGUAUGCAGAACUGUGCACGCUAACAUGAUCCCAGCAGGCGAGAGGAAGAAAGUGUGCAGAAUGGUGCACGCCAACAUGAUCCCAGCAGGUGACAGGAAGAAAGUGAGCAGAAUGGUGCAUGCUAAGAUGAUCCCAGCAGGUGAGAGGAAGAAAGUGUGCAGAACGGUGCACACUAACAUGAUCCCAGCAGGGGAGAGGAAGAAAGUGUGCAGAACAGUGCACACUAACAUGAUCCCAGCAGGCGAGAAGAAGAAGGUGAAGUGAGCAGAAUGGUGCAUGCUAAGAUGAUCCUGGCAGGUGAGAGGAAGAAAGUGAGCAGAAUGGUGCAUGCUAAGAUGAUCCCGGCAGGUGAGGGGAAGAAAGUGAGCAGAACGGUGCAUGCUAACAUGAAGCCAGCAGGUGAGGGAAAGGAGAACAGUGCACACUAACACGUUCCCAGCAGCUGAGAGAAAAGUGGACACCAGGGCCAGGAGACGGGGGCCCUCGAGGGGAAUGCAGGGAGGACUCUGGGGCAGGGGCAAAUCACUGUCAAUGUUCAGCUUCAGUGCUGGGUGCAGGAACACUGGCAUGAACCAAGGAGUACAAUGAAUCAAAUUCUGGGCCCCUGUGGCCCAAAAGUAAAUCAAUUAAAUUGGAGGGGCAACUAUUUCUCCAUGUGGAGUUAUAAGUGAUAUCUAUUUUCAUCUUUAAAGUUUUCUACAUUACCAAAAUAGUACCUAAUAAUCACGUUAGUUUUACAAUCAGAAAACGGUGGCAGCAAGCAAUGACAUUAAACUGAACAUUUUUAUUCCAAUUAUUCAAGUUUUUGCUGCACAGUAUUUUCAAAUGUUUUAUUUUCAAAAUGACUAUUACAAAAAAUGUAGUUUCCAGAAUGUCAUGGCUACACCUCAACCUACUCCACUCUUGCAGUGGGGGCAACAGCUUUAGGAGCAGGGACCGUGUGUGGGGGCUGCACCCUUGCAGUGCGUGGCCUGGACACGGCCCAAGCCCUCCGCCGCCCACAGACAACACUUUCACAUUGAUAAAUAUGCAUGCCCAUCAAAUCCUGCUGUAAACCAAAACUAAAAUUCUAAGUCCCCCAGCCAACUGAGUGCAUCCCCUUGCAGCCACCGGGACCCAAAGAAACCUGAAAAACCAGUUCAGGCCAUGAAUGGGAAGGAGGGCUCGGGAUGCCCCAUUAUACCUGCCCCGCUCUGGAAUUUAGACACAACUGACCAACAUUAAAAUAAAAACAGAGAUCCUAGACUGACAAAACAGACUCUCUGUAGCAAUAAGAUACCCAAUUCAACGGGACUCCGGUAUAGCAUCACAUGACACAUAGUAGCCCCGAAGGAAUCAAAGUAUUUUACCUCAAAAUAUAUUUCCUUGACAUAUGUUGAAAUGGCCCUUGCAAAGCUGUCUCUCAUGGGGGAAAUGUGCAUUCUGCAGAGAAUCUGCUUCCCUUAUUAGGCUUUUUCUGGAGACUCUGACACCUUUUAAGGGCCUAUAAGAGACAUGCACAUCUAUUCUCUCUGAAGCCUGCCAUCCGGAGGCUUCAUCAACAUAACAAAAACCUUGGCUUCCACAACCACCCCCGCCCCCACCUUAACUCAAGCUGAGUUCAACUUUUUAGACAAAGCUUAACUCUUU